Molecule: ribosomal RNA, 1019 nt
Filed under: Escherichia coli
Lineage: Bacteria; Pseudomonadati; Pseudomonadota; Gammaproteobacteria; Enterobacterales; Enterobacteriaceae
Description: partial 23S ribosomal RNA
Rfam family: Bacterial large subunit ribosomal RNA
Source: RNAcentral
CCGGUAAACGGCGGCCGUAACUAUAACGGUCCUAAGGUAGCGAAAUUCCUUGUCGGGUAAGUUCCGACCUGCACGAAUGGCGUAAUGAUGGCCAGGCUGUCUCCACCCGAGACUCAGUGAAAUUGAACUCGCUGUGAAGAUGCAGUGUACCCGCGGCAAGACGGAAAGACCCCGUGAACCUUUACUAUAGCUUGACACUGAACAUUGAGCCUUGAUGUGUAGGAUAGGUGGGAGGCUUUGAAGUGUGGACGCCAGUCUGCAUGGAGCCGACCUUGAAAUACCACCCUUUAAUGUUUGAUGUUCUAACGUUGGCCCGUUAUCCGGGUUGCGGACAGUGUCUGGUGGGUAGUUUGACUGGGGCGGUCUCCUCCUAAAGAGUAACGGAGGAGCACGAAGGUUGGCUAAUCCUGGUCGGACAUCAGGAGGUUAGUGCAAUGGCAUAAGCCAGCUUGACUGCGAGCGUGACGGCGCGAGCAGGUGCGAAAGCAGGUCAUAGUGAUCCGGUGGUUCUGAAUGGAAGGGCCAUCGCUCAACGGAUAAAAGGUACUCCGGGGAUAACAGGCUGAUACCGCCCAAGAGUUCAUAUCGACGGCGGUGUUUGGCACCUCGAUGUCGGCUCAUCACAUCCUGGGGCUGAAGUAGGUCCCAAGGGUAUGGCUGUUCGCCAUUUAAAGUGGUACGCGAGCUGGGUUUAGAACGUCGUGAGACAGUUCGGUCCCUAUCUGCCGUGGGCGCUGGAGAACUGAGGGGGGCUGCUCCUAGUACGAGAGGACCGGAGUGGACGCAUCACUGGUGUUCGGGUUGUCAUGCCAAUGGCACUGCCCGGUAGCUAAAUGCGGAAGAGAUAAGUGCUGAAAGCAUCUAAGCACGAAACUUGCCCCGAGAUGAGUUCUCCCUGACUCCCUGAGAGUCCUGAAGGAACGUUGAAGACGACGACGUUGAUAGGCCGGGUGUGUAAGCGCAGCGAUGCGUUGAGCUAACCGGUACUAAUGAACCGUGAGGCUUAACCUUACAACGCC